Molecule: long non-coding RNA, 8541 nt
Filed under: Zea mays
Lineage: Eukaryota; Viridiplantae; Streptophyta; Magnoliopsida; Poales; Poaceae
Description: long non-coding RNA (ZMAY_LNC003901)
Source: RNAcentral
UAAGCAUUUUUGUAAAUCAUAUUUUGAUACUUCACCGAAGUAUCUAUAAAGGUAUGGAUAUCAAGGAAAGCAAUGCAUCAAAGGGUUUCAAGCAAUUCCUAUGAACCUAAUGCACAUUUCACUAGACUUAAGUGUGCGAAAAGUAUUUAAAAACACAAGGAAAGGGGUUGCAUGCACCGGGGCUUGCCUGAGUAACACUAGGUUAGUGUUGUUAGGUGACGUCCGCUUGACGAGUAUCCUUCGACCGAGCACUUGCUUGAUUUAACCGUCUUCAGGUUGAUUCAUCAGCUUCAGCUUGUAGAUUAGCCCACGCUUGGGGUCGGCUUGGUUCUUCUUCCGCAUCACGCGAUUAUUUAUCGUACCUCAUGAGAUGCAUGAUGCACAUGUAUGAGCAUAUGUAUAACGAGUAUAAUAUAGAUAAUCUACGCUAAAAAGCAUGAAACACUUAAAACCAAGCAUUAAGCACCAUGGAUAUCACAGCAGGACAUCGACUAUAUCCAUUAAUCAAAUUGACAUAUUACACUAGAAAAUCUAUUUUUAUUCUUAGCUUUUUAUUAACUCUCUAAACUGUGUAACUUAAUUAGUUGAUUUAGCGAGCUAUCUAAAUCAAUCAUCACAAUAUACGCAUGCUAAAUUAAUAAUAUUUAUUGUGACCAACAAUUCUAUUUAAUCUAUUUAUAGACCUAGUUAAUGGGAAUACGAACCAACUUACCCUGACUAAUUCGACGCGAUAGUCGCAAGCACGACUACGGGUUCCGGUUGAUGUCAUCCAGGAGCCUUCUUUUCUUCGGUAAUUAAUUGCUGAAGAUCUUUUCUUCGAUUGAAUAAUUUCGACGAAUUGAACUUGAGUCGCGCAGGAUGUCCGAGCUUUUUGGUCGCGCACUUGGUGAAUAUCACGCUGCUGGCUUCGUCUUCACUCGAUUCUUGGAAUUUUUGAUGACGCACGGAACGACGACGACACAGGAGGGUGACGUAUAUAGAGCUACACACGCGACACGAUGACGAACGAUGCUGACCAGCGGAAUCGAUGACGCGAUGAGAAUUAAGGCCAAGCGAGCCGAGAGGACGCACCGGCGAGCAGGAAAAAGACUCGACGCGGGAGUUUGACACGCACGCGAAGCCUAUCACCCGCGACAACACUAUGAUGGCGAUAUGAGCGAACGCGAAUCGGCGCGGGCCAAACACCGUAUAACCAUGGCAGCGACUUGGGCGAGAUCCAAACUAGAGCAGCAGCACACCGACAAGCAGGGACGACUGGCAAACUCCGGUUUAGGUGAAUGGAACGCGACACAGGGAGCUGGUGCGCACGUAGGGACUCGACGACGGACAGCGGUCAUGGAUGACGUGUCGCGCGGACGACCGAGCAGGACACGAACUGGACAGAACCGAGCGCGCAGGCUCCACGGCGAACCGAGAAACCGGCUACGCGCAGGGGCAGAGGACCGCGCAUGCAAGGCGAGCAGCAAGGCGACGGCGCGCAGGAACGGGAAGCCUCGACAGGGCGCUGUACGGAGGAGUUCGGCUGGGACUCGGCAGGGAGGAGACCUCGGCUGGGGGCUUGGCGCGCGGCGAAGCAGACAGCAGAGGGAGCUCGCGGCCAUGGAGGAAUAGGGGUGCGACGGCAAGGAGCUGGGGUCAAGCAGAGAGAAAACGAGAGAAAGGAAAAGGAGCAGGACGCCAUGGAUGGAGUCUGCAGGGGAUUCUGCCGGGCUGGGCGACAGCGCAGUGGAGCAGAGAGUGCGCGCAGGCAACCAGAAGCCGGGCGAGUGGGAGGGAGAAGACCCCGGACGCUGAGCAUGGAGGGUGACCGACGCUGGAGAUCCGGCCGGCGAGCAAAGGGGCGAGCAGGGCGGGUGCCAUGGGAGCACCGCGCGCAGACCAAGGAAAAACAGGGGACACGCCAUAGCUGAGAGAUGAGCUCGGCUGGGAGCUACGCACGGUCGGGAGGAGGAAGAAGCAGAGCGCGCGCCGGAGGAGCAGAGGAGAUGGACGCGCGCGCAGGAGCUGGAGCAGAAGCACCGCGCAAGGAAGAAGCUUGGCUGCCGGUAAAAAUAAAGAGCUUCAACGUGCGAGAGAAAUAUCAGAGAAAGGGAUAGCGACGAGAGACGAUGGAGAUGAGCAGGAAGGGCGGCAGGAUUUUUCUGGCGGCUAAAAGAUUUCUUCUCAGGCACAGGCGACACAAGGAUAACGAUGGCGUUUUUUUUUCCAAGUACCGAGCGCGCGUGUGGGAAGAUGAGGCCAAGAAAGAUAUUUCUUUUUUCUAAAUAAUUAAAUGCAAAUAUCUAAUGUCUAGGAUUUGCGAGAGUUUAAAUGACUUGGUUCCAAUCAUAUUUCAGACUACGCAUUUUAUUUUCUGUAUUACGAAAUAGGACACCGAAUCUGCUAACAAUUGCUCUGGUUUUGGUUAGUUCAGAUUCAUUUUGUUUAAACAGCCUGCUUUAGUAAUGUCUAAUGAAUUCGUAGAGACCGCUCGAACAAGAGCAAAGUAAUUAGGCGACGUUUCCAAUUUCCUUAAUCGAUUGAUUGUAGACUGGCACUAGACUUGACACUUUAUAAAAUAAAUUUUUAAUGUGGUAAACUCUCAGAGUCAUAUGAACCUCAAUCAGUUAUUUAUAUCAGAAAGUGUUGAUCUGAGCGAGAAGCAAUAGGUCGAAUUAAACUGAUUCUCGCUACGAUAGUUUGCUCUGCCUGAUUUGACUGAAGUUAGUCGAAAACAAUCCGCUAAUGUACACGCGAUUUCGUCAUCAGAACAUCGUGCAGACGGAUAAAUUGGAUCCUAACCUCGCGCACGAUUUCUCUCAGACAUCGCGCGACACAAAUUAUUUUGCCCCGACAUUUUAGUUGUCGAGUUCAAAUUAAUUUGCCCGGGAUAAAAAUCACCCAGUGGUUCGAGCUUCCGAAUUCAUAUUCGCGCGAGCGAUGAAUUUUUAAUAAUCACCGGACGCAUCGAUUUUCAGAACGACGAUGUUCCGAUCAUCACGAAAAUUUAGGAAGAGCCCGGAUAGAUACAACCGAUGUCGAACUCACGACAAACGGAUCAGAUGCGAUAUUAAAAUUGCGAUGGCCGAAGAUGUUUAAAAUUUAACAUCCGUUUUAUCCACUGAUUACGUGCUUAAAUCCGUACUCAUCGUCGAGCGGAAUAUAAACACCUGGGGUGUUACAGCCCUCUCCCCUUAAAAGAAUCUCGUCCCGAGAUUCAGAAUGAAAGACUUCUAAGAGUAGAGAAGCAUGUAACCCACAUCCAUAUCAGCGGUAACUAAGGCAGUUUCAAGCAAAGGCGAGUGUCUCAGAAUGUGGUUUCUCUAGCGGACAUAACAUAUAUCGCCUUAGGCUAAUUUAGAGAUGUCCACCAAUAGAGACGCUGUCUGCCAGAAGAACACAUAAGGUUCCAUGUGUGCAGUUUGCUUUUUCUGAUGACACUGUACUAUCUGAGUCUGUUGAGUGAGCAACUAAUACGCGAUUUUACCCAAACAGAAUCAGAUGCAACCUCUUGGGUAAAACACACAGAAAGAGGUUUACCAAUAAGUGGUCGCGAUAGGUUCAUAGCACACGAGACGAGUGUGGAUGUUGAAUACUGUCGCGGUUAACAUGUGGUUAACCCGAGAAUUCAAGUCCACGAAAGAUGGUAUAGAUUCGAGAGAAUCACCAGCGGAGGGGUCUGUAGAUACGAACUUUACGACCAGUCCAUUUUAUCCAGCACUAAUCAUGGCUCGACAUGGUCACACAUGCUGGAAAAGCACACGUGAGGCGAUCGAGACACGACUAGAGCGAUGGCUAGGUGGUUACUGGCCAACUUAAUCUCGAUUCAUAUAAGUGCUUUCUUCAGGGUGUUUUUAACCAGAGUGAGUUUAGACAACUCGACAAAACGAUCUCUAAACUCAACCUUUGAUCACAAGGCAGUUACAACUUAGUAAAACCAACUUGUUGAACUACUUUCGACAUUGAGCAAGUCCUCUCAGUACCAUCGGUAAGCCAACGGUCGAGAGCUCACAUUUGCUAGCAAAAGGUCAUGCAUUUGGGUAGAAAUCCAUUUGGUCAUGUUGUUCAUCCGUUUCUUCAUGCGAGAUGAAUUAUCCACUUGGUUAGGGAAUACAUGGAUUAAAUAAGGGAGCGAAUGAACAAAUUCCUGCAUCUCAGCAGCAGGAGAAACACAUCUCCAUUUUGAGAGCUAAUCAGUUGUUUUCCAAUAUUAAAAAGCUCCAAGGAUUCACCUUUCACAAAGGAUGUAAAGGGAACUUGUAUGUGUGAAGUCACCAUCAAAGUCAAGGAAAAGAAACCAUACAAGAAAAUGGUAUGCCCUUUUUAUCCAAUGGAGAUGAUAAAUGUUGUUUGAUCACUUGACAAACAACCUAGAAAUUGUUUCAAAGAAGGAGUCCACGGAAGAUCACACAUCGGUGUAGUUCCACAAUGGAUCAUGACUAGAGACUUCGAUACCAGCAUGCGCCAAGCAGCAGAAUCCUGUGUGCACAUUCACAGGAGGCUCUUAGUUUCGCCGUGGCACCAUAAGUCAUUAAUCGAGACGCCAUUAUCGAACUGGCACCAAUAAUGAAUCUCACGUGGUAAGAAUAAUUUGCGCAAAGAUAACAUAUCAAUAUAGUCUAAUAAUGGAUUAUGACUACUAACGGUGAUACCAGCGGAUGCCAAGUAGCGCAACCAUGUGUGUGCAUCCACAGGAGGCCCUCGGUUUCAUCGCAGUGCCAUCGGUUUUAGUCAUAACACCAUUGCCAGACGUCACCAAUAAGAAAUCUCGCGUGACACCAUUGGAUUGAACAAAGGUGACAAUAUAUAAAGAAAUACUCCACCUAUAAAAAUGGUUACAAGUAGAGACCAAAUAGAUCAUGGCCCGAUGAAACGAACAAAGUAUGGCCAUAACCUAAACUUGUUAAUGAAGGGAGUACGAUGGGAGACUGUUAAUUUAGCCACAAGCAUAUUUCUAUGCCCAUCAGAUGGAUUACAAGUCAAGGAUUAGUAUCUGACUAGAUACGCAGGGAAAACAAUCACAAGGUUAAGUGGGUAUGCCUUCGAGAAAGAUGGGGAACUAAAGGCAUCAAACGAAGGAAAAUGAUUAGGUAUGACUUUCCUAAGUUAGGUUGAUAAGGCGACAAGAUGAUCAACAAGGAGAGGCCGAAUACAAUAGGGACCUCAACCUGCAUCAACUGAACAAGGGAAUGGUUCUAAAAGGAGACAUGACUUGAGAUUCUUGUUGUAAGCCUAUGUACAAUUUAUGUCCAACAAGUAAUUUGUCUAAGCAUUUAUUUUUAUGUGUUUGGUCAUGGAGUGAUAACGGAGAAUUCAAAUUUUGGGUCAUGGUUCACCAACUAAUAACAUGGCCUAAUUUCCGGUUUAGGCAAACAAGUCACUAACCUUCUAUCGACACAUCAAGCACAAGGGCAAACACAUUUGCACUAAUGGUCAAAUUAUGAAAAGCUAAAGGCAAUCUAAACCUGUAUCCCUAAGACACCACAUCAUUCACAAUCACCAAGUUUUGGAAUAAAGGUGAGAGAAGCAUUUUGGGUGUAUAGGUAACAAACAUAAUGCAACAAUCAGGAUGCAUGCUCGUCCUACACGUCCUCACGAGUUUUGCCAACAUAAUGUGGCGAUAGCGUUCUAUAUCGGUGGCAUACUUACGAAUCUCACGGUAAUUUGCUAGUCGUCAGCUACACAUACGUUUUCGAGGUUAGUGUACCUGCAGAAAAUUCCAUUACAACCCAAUUUCCCAUAAUGCAAUUCAUACAUGACAGUUUAUCACAGGUUAUACUCCAUAUAUCGCUAUAUGGAGGCCAGCUCAUCAUUAAGCGCUGAGCCAUGCAUAGGCGCCGUUGCCACACUUUAACAAUAGGGCAACUCAUUAUGGUAACUCACCUUCUUACCUGAACGUAGGUGCGUUGUUACAAGUACAUUACACUUCUCAGUAUUCCCAUGUCUGUAUACCCUUACACAUCCAUGGGGUACUGAAUUCCCGAAAAAGUAAGUACUCCACAUCGCAGCCUUCAUAUAUACAUAUGUAGAACAUGUAUAUAAUCAGGCGCUACAAUUAAGCACUUCCCUAGACCGACGGUUGUUCGGUCAUGCUCUCACAACUCACCUUACCUUGGGCGUCGAUCCAUUCCAAACGGAAUGGUUUUCAAAAAUAACAAUACACAUGUAUGCAAUACCCACCCGGUUGUGGGUUAGUGGUUUUCAACUAAGCCACCUAAUAGUCCUUAGUUUAGGGCUUAACAGAGGAUGUCGCUAGCAUUAUAGUUUUUUUUUCAAAACUAUUUUUCAAAGCCAAACAAUAUGUUUAGUUGAAAAUAGGUUUUUCGAAACCAAAACUUUUGUUUUGAAAAUAUGUAUGUGACUGUAUAUACUUAAUCCAGCUCCGAUACCAGCUGUGGCAGAACCUCCCAAGUUAUCGGGCCCACAUGCACCUGUCCUUGUCUCAAAGACCUCAGACAGCUAUGCAUGUGCACCAGAUAACUUAACAGGAUCCGUCCGAUUGCCCAAGGACAUCGGAUAAACCACUUACAACCAGAACCGCGGGAUUAAGUAACACAAAUCACACACACAACAUUUUUGCAGCGGAAAUCUUAUUACCAAAUUUUACAGGUUAUAAAAAAAAUAUUUACAUUAUUUUAUCAGAGUGAUUACAAAAGUAUAAGUUUGAAAUAUAUGCUAGCUCAAGUGACCAUCCUUAAUAAGAAGUAUAGAAGGGUUACUUAGACUUAUAAGAAGGCCGAGCCCACCGGCACUUAACACCAUCAACAACAGCACAAAGUUAAAACCUGAAAAACAACAGGGAAUAAAACCCUGAGUAUGGAAUUACUCAGCAAGUCUUACCCGACUAAGGAAAAGACUCUCAAGGGUAUGCUGGAUAAAUAGGAGCCAAGGAGAGGCUUUAGCAAAAAUCAACUUAUACUUUUGCAGAAGUAGCUUACUAAAGUGAGCCCUUACUUUCAAUCUUUUAACGCCAUAUUAAGUAUUAAUAAACUCUAUUUGCAUCUAGUCUAUUUUCAAUCAUCUCAUCAAUACAACAUCAUUUUUAUCCAUAAUGUUCACAUCCUGACUUUAGGUUGCAGGGCAGUGACCAAGUCUUCAUAACCGCGAAGGUACGGCGAUCCGAAUCGAUUAUACUCAGCUGAGGAUCUCCAAUCACACGACAUAUGUAGCACUUAACCCUUGCAUAUGUCAACCCGCCACCGGGGUUCUUAAGACCGGAUCAGGUUCACGCAAACCGAGAGCACAGAUACACCACCGUCCAGCCUCUUGCCACGGAGGGUACACGCUACUCUCGCCACCGCUCCACGUCCAUUUCGUGUUAUCUUAUUCCGGCCUUAGUCUGCCCGAGGCAAGGCUUACCCAUGACGAGGCAUGUGACCAGUUAAAGGGUCCUCGAUCAUCAAGCCUACACACGCGUUAAUCCUUAAUCAACCUGGGUAGAACAUCACCUGUUCCUAACCCAAGUCUCGAUUUACAUACUUCCAUCCUUAGGAUUGUUUCUGUUCCCAAGGAUGAAAAGAGCAUCACAGGGAGCUUUGCAGUAAGAUCCCACCAUUGCUCCAAAUGAAAAUAUUCUUGCAGGUAGAAGCCAUCCUUUCUCGAGUUAAAUUAAGGAUAACCUCUAUCUACAAGAUCUAAGCAAGGCUAAGCAUUUUUGUAAAUCAUAUUUUGAUACUUCACCGAAGUAUCUAUAAAGGUAUGGAUAUCAAGGAAAGCAAUGCAUCAAAGGGUUUCAAGCAAUUCCUAUGAACCUAAUGCACAUUUCACUAGACUUAAGUGUGCGAAAAGUAUUUAAAAACACAAGGAAAGGGGUUGCAUGCACCGGGGCUUGCCUGAGUAACACUAGGUUAGUGUUGUUAGGUGACGUCCGCUUGACGAGUAUCCUUCGACCGAGCACUUGCUUGAUUUAACCGUCUUCAGGUUGAUUCAUCAGCUUCAGCUUGUAGAUUAGCCCACGCUUGGGGUCGGCUUGGUUCUUCUUCCGCAUCACGCGAUUAUUUAUCGUACCUCAUGAGAUGCAUGAUGCACAUGUAUGAGCACAUGUAUAACGAGUAUAAUAUAGAUAAUCUACGCUAAAAAGCAUGAAACACUUAAAACCAAGCAUUAAGCACCAUGGAUAUCACAGCAGGACAUCGACUAUAUCCAUUAAUCAAAUUGACAUAUUACACUAGAAAAUCUAUUUUUAUUCUUAGCUUUUUAUUAACUCUCUAAACUGUGUAACUUAAUUAGUUGAUUUAGCGAGCUAUCUAAAUCAAUCAUCACAAUAUACGCAUGCUAAAUUAAUAAUAUUUAUUGUGACCAACAAUUCUAUUUAAUCUAUUUAUAGACCUAGUUAAUGGGAAUACGAACCAACUUACCCUGACUAAUUCGACGCGAUAGUCGCAAGCACGACUACGGGUUCCGGUUGAUGUCAUCCAGGAGCCUUCUUUUCUUCGGUAAUUAAUUGCUGAAGAUCUUUUCUUCGAUUGAAUAAUUUCGACGAAUUGAACUUGAGUCGCGCAGGAUGUCCGAGCUUUUUGGUCGCGCACUUGGUGAAUAUCACGCUGCUGGCUUCGUCUUCAC